AUUGAACGCUGGCGGCAGGCCUAACACAUGCAAGUCGAACGGUAGCACAGAGAGCUUGCUCUCGGGUGACGAGUGGCGGACGGGUGAGUAACGUCUGGGAAACUGCCCGAUGGAGGGGGAUAACUACUGGAAACGGUAGCUAAUACCGCAUAACGUCGCAAGACCAAAGUGGGGGACCUUCGGGCCUCACACCAUCGGAUGUGCCCAGAUGGGAUUAGCUAGUAGGUGAGGUAAUGGCUCACCUAGGCGACGAUCCCUAGCUGGUCUGAGAGGAGGACCAGCCACACUGGAACGGAGACACGGUCCAGACUCCUACGGGAGGCAGCAGUGGGGAAUAUUGCACAAUGGGCGCAAGCCUGAUGCAGCCAUGCCGCGUGUAUGAAGAAGGCCUUCGGGUUGUAAAGUACUUUCAGCGGGGAGGAAGGCGGUGAAGUUAAUAACUUCACCGAUUGACGUUACCCGCAGAAGAAGCACCGGCUAACUCCGUGCCAGCAGCCGCCGUAA
This 504-nucleotide ribosomal RNA is filed under the name uncultured bacterium. RNAcentral's name for it is "partial 16S ribosomal RNA". It matches the Rfam family "Bacterial small subunit ribosomal RNA", at positions 29 to 523 of the family's 1533-position model. The record is from RNAcentral.